This 948-nucleotide unclassified non-coding RNA is filed under the name Hevea brasiliensis (rubber tree). Lineage: Eukaryota; Viridiplantae; Streptophyta; Magnoliopsida; Malpighiales; Euphorbiaceae. The record is from RNAcentral.
UCCAGUGACAAUGAUUCAAAUAAGCAAUCGCAAGCGAUUGAAGAGGAGAGAGAAAGACGGUACUACUUGCCACUGUAUAAAGCAGCUCUGAGAGGUGAUUGGGAAGCUGCAAGUAGAAUUUUUUGUGAUGAUCCUGGUGCAGUAACUGCUAUGAUUUCAGGCAUUGGAGAGAUUACUCUUCAUGUUGCAAUUGGCAAAGGUCGCUCUUCCAUAAGAUUCAUACAGAAGCUUGUAGAAUUAAUGCCGGCGGAUUUCUUAGUAGCGGCAAAUAAUGAUGGUGAAACACCUCUUCAUUAUGCUGCUAUUGCUGGAAAUGUUCAAGCAAUAAGGAUCUUGGUGACAAAGAAUCGAGCGGUGCUGGAUAUAGAAAACAGACAUGGCAGUCUACCACUCCAUUAUGCUGCCCAAUUUUGCCAAAAGGAAGCAGUUUCCUAUCUUUUGUCAGUGACAGAUCUAAGUGAAUUCUCAGGCAUACAUGGCGUCAGACUUGUCAAUCUUUUAAUAAUUGCUGAUUUCUAUGAUAUGGCCCUUGAUGUACUACGGAGAUAUCCCAAAUUAGCUAUUGAAAGAGAUUAUGAAGGGACAACUGCCUUGGCGACGUUGGCAAAUAUGCCUCAUGCAUUUCCAAGUGGAAGCAAGCUUGGGUUUUGUGAUCGCUUAUUGUAUCGAUUUGCUUCGGUACAUUCAGAUGGUGUCCCUCGAGGUGGAGAUUUGGAAAGUAUAGCUGACAGUUCAAAAGAAUACCAAAAAGAAUCAAAGAAAUUUGGGUUUCUACACAACACAAAGAAUACAAAGUUGAAGCACAUUCUAGCAUUAGAGCUACUCAGACUCUUGAUUACGGAAGCUUUAGACGCAAGACCCUCAGAAACUCGCAUGCUACUGAAAAAUCCACUACACACUUCUGCUAGAUUGGGGAUUUAUGAAGUGGUUGUGGAGAUUAUAAAGGCC